Molecule: non-coding RNA, 136 nt
Organism: Triticum aestivum (bread wheat)
Lineage: Eukaryota; Viridiplantae; Streptophyta; Magnoliopsida; Poales; Poaceae
Source: Rfam
AUUCUACUCCCUCCGUUGCACAAUACAUGCCUUCUAUUUGUCAAAAUAUAUAUGUAUCUAGACAUGUUUUAGUAUAUAGGUACAUCCAUUUUUGGAAAAAUGGAAGUCAAGUAUUUUGGAACGGAGGGAGUACACA